UACGUAGGGUGCGAGCGUUAAUCGGAAUUACUGGGCGUAAAGCGUGCGCAGGCGGUUUUGUAAGCCAGAUGGGAAAUCCCCGGGCUUAACCUGGGAAUGGCAUUUGGGACUGCAAGGCUGGAGUUUGGCAGAGGAGACUGGAAUUCCUGGUGUAGCAGUGAAAUGCGUAGAUAUCAGGAGGAAUACCGAUGGCGAAGGCAGGUCUCUGGGCUAUAACUGACGCUCAUGCACGAAAGCGUGGGGAGCAAACAGG
This 253-nucleotide ribosomal RNA is filed under the name uncultured bacterium. Its description in RNAcentral is "partial 16S ribosomal RNA". It matches the Rfam family "Bacterial small subunit ribosomal RNA", at positions 524 to 776 of the family's 1533-position model. The record is from RNAcentral.